GGCGUUUCGCCCGAGUUGUAAUUUGGAGAAGGUGCUUCGGGCGCGGCCCCGGUCUAAGUCCCUUGGAACAGGGCGUCCCAGAGGGUGAGAAUCCCGUACGCGGCCGUCGGCCAAGCCCGUGCGAAGCCCUUUCGACGAGUCGAGUUGUUUGGGAAUGCAGCUCCAAAUGGGUGGUAAAUUUCAUCUAAAGCUAAAUAUCUGCCCGAGACCGAUAGCGAACAAGUAGAGUGAUCGAAAGAUGAAAAGAACUUUGAAAAGAGAGUUAAAAAGUACGUGAAAUUGUUAAAAGGGAAGCGCUUGCUACCAGACUCGCUCGUGGGUGCUCAGCCGUUCCUUCGGGGGCGGUGCGUUCUCCCGCGCGCGGGCCAGCAUCGGUUUGGGCGGCCGGACAAAGGCCCCGGGAACGUAGCUUUCUCCGGGGAGUGUUAAGCCCGGGGUGCAAUGCGGCCCGCCUGGACCGAGGACUGCGCAUUCGCAAGGAUGCUGGCGUAAUGGUAGCCAGCGACCCGUCUUGAAACACGGACCAGUAAGUUACACCGCGCACAAAUCGUCGAAUAAAUGCUAACCCGUGCCGUAGAGGAGUCGACCAACCGCGCGAGUGUUUGGGU
This 608-nucleotide ribosomal RNA is filed under the name Myriotrema halei. RNAcentral describes it as "eukaryotic LSU rRNA". It matches the Rfam family "Eukaryotic large subunit ribosomal RNA", at positions 124 to 750 of the family's 3401-position model. The record is from RNAcentral. Lineage: Eukaryota; Fungi; Ascomycota; Lecanoromycetes; Ostropales; Graphidaceae.